UAGUCUCGCACAGAUGCAUAUCAAUAAGCGGAGGAAAAGAAACUAACAAGGAUUCCCUUAGUAACGGCGAGUGAAGCGGGAAGAGCUCAAAUUUGAAAUCUUCAAGGUUUUACCUUGACGAAUUGUAGUUUAAAGAAGUGUUUUCUGUUGAAGUUUUGGUAAAAGUUCUUUGGAAUAGGACAUCAUAGAGGGUGAGAAUCCCGUAUUUGACCAUUAUUUUCAGCUGUGUGAUACACUUUCAAAGAGUCGGAUUGUUUGGGAAUGCAGUCCAAAAUGGGUGGUAAAUUUCAUCUAAAGCUAAAUAUUGGCGAGAGACCGAUAGCGAACAAGUACCGUGAGGGAAAGAUGAAAAGAACUUUGAAAAGAGAGUUAAACAGUACGUGAAAUUGUCAAAAGGGAAGCGUUUGACACCAGUGUUGUUUUCUCGAAAAUCAAUUAAAAAGAGUUUGAUUUUGUUGUGUAUUGACCUUAACAGCUUGCAUUUCAAUUUUCUUGCUUUUUUUAAUGCACUUUUCGUUUAACAAGUCAACAUCAGUUUCUUUUGUUGUAAAAAGGUCAUUGGAAGGUGGCUUUCUUUUCGGAGAAAGUGUUUAUAGCCUUUGACUCCUGCAAUCGGAGAGACUGAGGUCUGCAGCGUAGAUCCUUCGGGGUUAGAUACAUUUGUGCUAAGUUAUAGCUUUUUAUAGACAACUUGUUGACUAUGAUUAGUCUUGUAGCUUACUCGCUUAUGCUAUUUUACCUACGCUUAGGAUGUUGAGCGCAUGUCUCUCUCU
Molecule: ribosomal RNA, 773 nt
Filed under: uncultured Neocallimastigales
Lineage: Eukaryota; Fungi; Neocallimastigomycota; Neocallimastigomycetes; Neocallimastigales
Description: partial large subunit ribosomal RNA
Rfam family: Eukaryotic large subunit ribosomal RNA
Source: RNAcentral